AUGGUGUAUGGACGAAAAGACCAAUCUAUAUCUUCCAUCCUAGGCCGGCCACCUCCAAGCAACAAGUUACACUCGCCUCUUUUUCACACAACACAUCCAAACAGACACUCCUGUCCUUCACCAUUCCAAGUCCCCAGCUCUCUCUCCUCCUCCCAUCCCUCAGCUCCUCCCCUCCCCCCUCCUCUCUCCCAGCAAGAAAUCUUCCAAGUUCCGCACCUCAAUUCCGCCCUAGCCCAACCAGCAACCUUUGGCCAACUCUGUCGAUCUCUCUAG
RNAcentral lists this ribosomal RNA (273 nucleotides) under Triticum aestivum (bread wheat). Its description in RNAcentral is "partial small subunit ribosomal RNA". The record is from RNAcentral. Lineage: Eukaryota; Viridiplantae; Streptophyta; Magnoliopsida; Poales; Poaceae.